Molecule: ribosomal RNA, 1510 nt
Filed under: Escherichia coli
Lineage: Bacteria; Pseudomonadati; Pseudomonadota; Gammaproteobacteria; Enterobacterales; Enterobacteriaceae
Description: partial 23S ribosomal RNA
Rfam family: Bacterial large subunit ribosomal RNA
Source: RNAcentral
CGAAUGCUGACAUAAGUAACGAUAAAGCGGGUGAAAAGCCCGCUCGCCGGAAGACCAAGGGUUCCUGUCCAACGUUAAUCGGGGCAGGGUGAGUCGACCCCUAAGGCGAGGCCGAAAGGCGUAGUCGAUGGGAAACAGGUUAAUAUUCCUGUACUUGGUGUUACUGCGAAGGGGGGACGGAGAAGGCUAUGUUGGCCGGGCGACGGUUGUCCCGGUUUAAGCGUGUAGGCUGGUUUUCCAGGCAAAUCCGGAAAAUCAAGGCUGAGGCGUGAUGACGAGGCACUACGGUGCUGAAGCAACAAAUGCCCUGCUUCCAGGAAAAGCCUCUAAGCAUCAGGUAACAUCAAAUCGUACCCCAAACCGACACAGGUGGUCAGGUAGAGAAUACCAAGGCGCUUGAGAGAACUCGGGUGAAGGAACUAGGCAAAAUGGUGCCGUAACUUCGGGAGAAGGCACGCUGAUAUGUAGGUGAAGUCCCUCGCGGAUGGAGCUGAAAUCAGUCGAAGAUACCAGCUGGCUGCAACUGUUUAUUAAAAACACAGCACUGUGCAAACACGAAAGUGGACGUAUACGGUGUGACGCCUGCCCGGUGCCGGAAGGUUAAUUGAUGGGGUCAGCGCAAGCGAAGCUCUUGAUCGAAGCCCCGGUAAACGGCGGCCGUAACUAUAACGGUCCUAAGGUAGCGAAAUUCCUUGUCGGGUAAGUUCCGACCUGCACGAAUGGCGUAAUGAUGGCCAGGCUGUCUCCACCCGAGACUCAGUGAAAUUGAACUCGCUGUGAAGAUGCAGUGUACCCGCGGCAAGACGGAAAGACCCCGUGAACCUUUACUAUAGCUUGACACUGAACAUUGAGCCUUGAUGUGUAGGAUAGGUGGGAGGCUUUGAAGUGUGGACGCCAGUCUGCAUGGAGCCGACCUUGAAAUACCACCCUUUAAUGUUUGAUGUUCUAACGUGGACCCGUGAUCCGGGUUGCGGACAGUGUCUGGUGGGUAGUUUGACUGGGGCGGUCUCCUCCUAAAGAGUAACGGAGGAGCACGAAGGUUGGCUAAUCCUGGUCGGACAUCAGGAGGUUAGUGCAAUGGCAUAAGCCAGCUUGACUGCGAGCGUGACGGCGCGAGCAGGUGCGAAAGCAGGUCAUAGUGAUCCGGUGGUUCUGAAUGGAAGGGCCAUCGCUCAACGGAUAAAAGGUACUCCGGGGAUAACAGGCUGAUACCGCCCAAGAGUUCAUAUCGACGGCGGUGUUUGGCACCUCGAUGUCGGCUCAUCACAUCCUGGGGCUGAAGUAGGUCCCAAGGGUAUGGCUGUUCGCCAUUUAAAGUGGUACGCGAGCUGGGUUUAGAACGUCGUGAGACAGUUCGGUCCCUAUCUGCCGUGGGCGCUGGAGAACUGAGGGGGGCUGCUCCUAGUACGAGAGGACCGGAGUGGACGCAUCACUGGUGUUCGGGUUGUCAUGCCAAUGGCACUGCCCGGUAGCUAAAUGCGGAAGAGAUAAGUGCUGAAAGCAUCUAAGC